RNAcentral lists this ribosomal RNA (253 nucleotides) under uncultured bacterium. RNAcentral's name for it is "partial 16S ribosomal RNA". It matches the Rfam family "Bacterial small subunit ribosomal RNA", at positions 524 to 776 of the family's 1533-position model. The record is from RNAcentral.
GACGUAGGGUGCAAGCGUUGUCCGGAUUUAUUGGGCGUAAAGAGCCCGUAGGCGGCUUGUUGCGUCGACUGUGAAAACCCGCGGCUUAACCGCGGGCUUGCAGUUGAUACGGGCAGGCUAGAGUUCGGUAGGGGAGACUGGAAUUCCUGGUGUAGCGGUGAAAUGCGCAGAUAUCAGGAGGAACACCGGUGGCGAAGGCGGGUCUCUGGGCCGAUACUGACGCUGAGGAGCGAAAGCGUGGGGAGCGAACAGG